RNAcentral lists this long non-coding RNA (991 nucleotides) under Anolis carolinensis (green anole). RNAcentral's name for it is "lncRNA (ENSACAG00000042789.1)". Lineage: Eukaryota; Metazoa; Chordata; Lepidosauria; Squamata; Anolidae. The record is from RNAcentral.
CGUCUCCCUACGUUACACAGCCCCGACUUCAAGGGGAAGUUGUUUUCUCUUUCAUUUUCACGCAGGGCUAUGGCACCAAAAAGGAGCACUAGGGCAGCAGCGGGUAUUGAGAAGGAGUUGCCGGCUAGAACUACGAGGCCGCCCAGGAGCAAGGCAACAGCUGAGCCUGAGCCUAGAAGAAAAGCACCUAGUAAGGCGCCCGUGCGCAAGGCAGCUCCAAGACGCGCGGGUAAGCAGGACGAGGGCGCGCUGGAAGGGAUUUCCCAGAAUCUUGCUCGCUUGGUGGAUAGAAUGGGAAAACUGGAAUCUAGAGUUUAUCAGAGGUCCGACAGGGCAUCAGUAUCCCCGCAACGGGAUGCAACAAGGGGCAGGAGACGCACGAGGGACAGGGACGUCUCCAGGACCCCCUCAGCUAGUCCAGUAUCCAGUGGUGACGACUCCACAGCGGCCACCGAGCGGACCGAACGGAGUGGCGGCAGUGCUCGCAAGAGGUCGCGCAGGUCUUCCAGACGUUGUUGCCAGACUGCUACCGACAGCGACUCAACGGAGAGGGUAGUGGCCACGUCCUUUCCUGACCGGGCGUGGCAUCUUGCAAAUCAUCAAAAAACGGUCGUCAAGGCUAGGAGGAUGGCAGGGGAGGCAGCAGCCAUUGCAUAUGAUGAGGCCUUUAGAAAAAGAGCGUCCCAGAGCGCCAGGGUGAGAUGGGACCUCACUAAUCACGACAUAUGGCUUACUGAGGUCGGCCCCAGCAUAAAAAGCAAGGCAGAGACGGGCAGGUCAGACCGCGGCUGGGGCAGAAGAGACAGCAGACGGGCCGUGUGCUGGGAGUUCAACCUGGGAAAAUGCCAACGGGCACGCUGCCGCUUCGAUCACCUGUGUGAAUACUGCUCAGGAAACCACACCAAGAUGAGUUGCGGGAAGUCCAGUGGCAACGGGCAGCCCUUUCGGUCAGGCCGGGCUGGUGGUCAGCCCGGUUUCAAAAAAGAAAGCG